AGCGAACGCUGGCGGCAGGCUUAACACAUGCAAGUCGAACGGGCAUCUUCGGAUGUCAGUGGCAGACGGGUGCGUAACACGUGGGAACGUACCCUUCGGUUCGGAAUAACUCAGGGAAACUUGAGCUAAUACCGGAUACGCCCUUUUGGGGAAAGGUUUACUGCCGAAGGAUCGGCCCGCGUCUGAUUAGCUUGUUGGUGGGGUAACGGCCUACCAAGGCGACGAUCAGUAGCUGGUCUGAGAGGAUGAUCAGCCACACUGGUACUGAGACACGGCCCAGACUCCUACGGGAGGCAGCAGUGGGGAAUAUUGGACAAUGGGCGCAAGCCUGAUCCAGCCAUGCCGCGUGAGUGAUGAAGGCCUUAGGGUUGUAAAGCUCUUUUGUCCGGGACGAUAAUGACGGUACCGGAAGAAUAAGCCCCGGCUAACUUCGUG
RNAcentral lists this ribosomal RNA (435 nucleotides) under uncultured bacterium. RNAcentral's name for it is "partial 16S ribosomal RNA". It matches the Rfam family "Bacterial small subunit ribosomal RNA", at positions 29 to 507 of the family's 1533-position model. The record is from RNAcentral.